Molecule: long non-coding RNA, 518 nt
Organism: Oxyura jamaicensis (ruddy duck)
Lineage: Eukaryota; Metazoa; Chordata; Aves; Anseriformes; Anatidae
Exons: 3
Source: RefSeq, a predicted model, not a curated record
GUCAGCCUCAUAAUUUUUGUUCUCAGAUCAAUCAAGUUAUGACCCAGGAAAAGAACUGCACGCAAUCUCCAGGGCGCUCUUCACUCAUAGUUUCAUCCUCUCAUCUGGAAGUCUGGCAUAAUAUUGCCUACAAAAGGUUUCCUGGCUGCUCUGAAUAAGAACACCUUCUCCCAGAAGACCUGGGGCAACUGGAGUGAGCUGUGCUUCCAGAGAUCCCACCAGCUCUUCCCAGAUUGUCAUUCACAUGGAAACUGGGAAGACACUUAGACCGCAGAAGAGGGGUAAGUAUUUUCAAACCUAGGAAGGUCUCUUUGAACCUGGUGCCCUUUUUAGUCUUCCCAGCCAAAGGAGACAUGCACACAGAUGUCUGGGGAGGUGCGAGCUGCUGGUUCUUCAUGGGGUGUGAUUGCAUCCCCCUCCUCUCAACCAGCUGGUACAGAGCCUGAGAGAUGCACGAGAUGUGUUCAUCCCCGGCUCUGUGGCCCCAUGGACCCUUCUCCCAGAAGUACCAAAAAAAA